Lathyrus oleraceus (garden pea) is the source of this 1060-nucleotide long non-coding RNA. RefSeq lists it as uncharacterized. The record is from RefSeq and is a predicted model, not a curated record. The transcript is spliced from 2 exons. Lineage: Eukaryota; Viridiplantae; Streptophyta; Magnoliopsida; Fabales; Fabaceae.
CUCCUCUCGGUUUUAAAACUCCUCUCAAAUUUCUGGCCUGAGAAAAACUUACCUCCGCCGUGUCGGAAAUCGCCUCCGGCGGUGGCGGGGGGUGAAACCACUGAAACCUUACAUCAAUCUCCUCAUCUCCUCAUCCUCUUCCUAAAUCCAUUCAUAAUUUCUUCUAAUCUUAAAUAAAUCACCAUAACCAAACCAAUUACCUUAAGAACCCUAAUCAUAAAUCUUCAAAUUAAAUCCUCCCACGUGGGAAUCAAAGUCCAAAUGGUUGAGACUUUGAUUCUCCAAGCCCUAAGCUACAUCAUGGUAUCUGAUUCGAAGUGAAAUGAGGAAGGGGACUUGACCUACCUGCUAGAGAAGAUGGAGACGAAUACGACGACGAAGAUGAAAUCAUAGGAUAUUUAGCAACAGGGAGGGUUUGAACAAAGGCAUACAAAGUGAAUUCAUUUGAAGUAACAUGGUGAAGGCAACAUCAAAGAUCAAAAAGUGGAAGCUUUGAAGACUCAAGCAACGGAAUGGGUGGCUUAUGGGAGAAGUAUGGGUGGACAUAAACCGCCCACCCGGCCCAACCCGGUGAAACCCGGAAAAAAAAAAAGAAUUUGGGCGAGUCGGAUCGGGCCAACGGGUCAAACGGGUUACCAAACUGGGUUACAGGGGGUUCAAAAGAACGGGUCGGGUACCAAAAAUGGACCCACGGGUACCCAAACCCGCCCAUCUACGAAACACGGUGUUUUGUCAUAGAUUCCUCUUGUUCUCACUUCUCUCACUCUCGUUUUUCCUUCCCAUAUUCUCUCACUCUCUCGUUCCCUCACUCCACUCGUUCCCAGAUCUUUCACUCUUUCAUUCCAGUUAUAAUGUGAUUAAUUGUUUCCUUCCCAUAUUCUCUAAUGUUUUCACACACUCUCCGUUAAAUCACUCUUAGUUAGGAUUUUUUAAUUAGGGUUUCUGAAUCUAAGGUUUUUAAUUUAGGGUUUAUGAUGAUUGUUGUUGUUACAAGUGAUUAAAGGCUUUGGACCAGUUGUCUCACUCUACGGGUGCUUAGAGUUUGUAUUUUUUUUUCUUA